UUACAACGUUUCUUAAUAUUACCUUUUCAUCUCCAUCUCCCACGUUCUCAUUCUCUCUAUUUUUCCACUCUCUGCCUCCCACACUUGAUCCACUCAAGAAAAAACAAAAUACCCACAAAACCCUUAACCCAACAGGAACCCUUAUCGCAAGCUGCAUCAUUCCUUCCAAACCUUCCCACAAGUUGCAAUCGUUCUUUUCAAGCCUUCUCACAAGGUGUAAUUGUUUAUUCCUUUCUAGGGUUUCGGCAUUUAGGGUCUCUCAUACAGUGUUGUAUUGGACGCGGUGUUACUAGCUAAGAAUCGUAUAGGCUUUAAAGUUGCUAUUCAUACUGUUUCUGUCUCCGGCGAUGGUGGAGUUUAGCCACUGUUGCUGCACUUGUUGGGCAGCAUUUGGUGAGGAAGCUAAUUGCCUUAUUAGGGAGAGAUUCAAUCAUCAUUUUCAUCCUUGCCCUCACAGUUUUUGUUAGUAGAAUAUCACUAGGCAAGUGUUAUUAAUUUGUUUGAUUUGCUUUAUUUGUUAUAUAUGAGUACCCUCUUCGUAAUUAUGACUAGCAAAAUAUGUUUUAUUUUAUUGAAUUAUAAAAAAAAGUUAGAGAAAAAUCAAAACAAAUAUUAAUCACUACUAGUUGUUAAAGAAUAUUGGUACACUUCUUUGAUUCUCUAAGUUUGUGUAUGUUUUUAAAAUCUGAGAAAGCAAAGCAACGUAGAGCGUCAGAAAGGGGAGAUGCUAAUCAUAGAGCCGAAAACAUUAGUAUUGCUGAUCAUGCUGAUCGGAUGACUGUGGCUAAGAGAAGAACAUCAUUAAUGCAAGAGCUUCACGAGAGGACUUAUUGAGGAAAAGAUGGAGAGUAUUGCGACGACCGUGCUAGAGAUACUCAAGCGGAGUACCAAAGGUUGAUGAUGGUGGAGUUUUUAGCUAAACAUCCUGAGUUAGGUGGUCCACGGGGACGAUAUCCUCUUGAUCUAGCUAUGGAUCAAUAUUUGUGGUUGAAAGGAAAUAAGGAAAGGAAUAGAAAUGGAAAAAUUUAUGUUACUGGACCUUUAGCUGACAACAACAAAAAAGAUGAUAUGUAUUCUUUAUUAAGGAGAAUUGCAGACGGGGAAGCAUCUUCACGUCCUUCGACAUUAAUUAACCCCUGAAAUAACUGAAACAAUUAGACAACUAGCUCAGAGUGAAGCAUCACGUGAAAAUGAAACAUUGAGAAAAAAGCAAAUGGAGUUGGAGGAAGCAUUGAUACUUUCACAAGAGCAAAUAAGGCUUACACAACAACAAAUUCAACAACAAGUGCAACAACAAAUACAACAACAAAUGCAACAAUUAUUUCAACAACAAUAUGGUGGUGGUGGAUUUGGAGCGAUUGGUAACCAAGGAGUGGUAGACGAGUAUGAUGAAGAAAACGAAAAUAAUGCGGACAUCUCAAAU
Molecule: long non-coding RNA, 1423 nt
Organism: Vicia villosa (hairy vetch)
Lineage: Eukaryota; Viridiplantae; Streptophyta; Magnoliopsida; Fabales; Fabaceae
Exons: 5
Source: RefSeq, a predicted model, not a curated record